UAAAUGGAUGAGUUGAUGGCGAAUACAUGGAUGGUUGGACCUCUAUACAUGGACGCCUGUGAAUGUAUCAAUAGACACAUAUCUAUCUUCAUUUGAGACAGUCAAGAAUUUAAAGAGGCUCUACCAAUCAAAUCUCAAUCAAGAGGUUGGACACAAUUAUAGGAUGGAGCGUGUUACACGCUGAUCAAUAUAUCCAACUUCACCAGUGAUGGGCCUUGCGUGUCACGGGAAAUUUCCCUCGAGGCUAAAGAAUUAGCUCCAAUUUUGCACAAUGGAAUAUCCCAUGAUGAAUUCACAGAAACAAAUUAAAAUUGGAAGAAGACGUUAAAAGCAUAAGAUUACAGAAUCUACCACAAAAGUUUGGACAGAUGAACUGAUUUGCCAAACUGCUGAAGAAACGAAAACUGACAAGAACGAGUUUCUGCAGGAUAGAUGUCUUGGAAGGUGGAUGAUACCGAAAUUGGACAGACGGCCGUUGCCAAUGGCAACCUCUCUUCAUAUCCAUUUGGUAAUUUGAAAAUUUAAAUUCCGAACUUAAACUAUUCUAGAAAACAGUUAUGACAAAUGAGCACUGGAAAAAAUAAGAAUAAAGAUAAACCAGAAAGAGAGCAAAGAGGGCAGGCUUGACAACCACAGAAAGUGAUCAAGCAAUGAAAUGAGAAGUGUUUGUCAGAGGAGGAUAGCAGACAUGCAUUUUAUCCAAGGGAACCUGCAAAGAUGCAACAUGCCAGCCAGCCUGAAGUUGCAGUCACAAUGAUGCCUCAAAUUCCACAGUUAGGAGACAGAAACUGUAAGAAGUAACUCCUGGAAAAUUGCAUCUGCUUACUAAACCUUAAUUCGCAUACAGCACUCAGCAUGGAGACUGUCCAUUCUGGUAUCACAACACUUAAGCAAUAUGAUUUCUAUAUUUGCAUUGAUAUAAAAUCGGUCAACAACAGCCAGAUGUCUUGCAUGGGAUAAGGGACGGAGAAAAAAACGAGUAACAACUGACCAAAUAAUGAAGUGGUACAUACAUGCAUCUUAAUGCUACUUUGCAAAAAUCUACCAUUACGCUACCGUAUAUGCCACGGCUGUAAUGUUUAACAGGCAACGUCUACCUGAUCUAAUUAAGCAAAUGCAAGAAGAUGAUCUGAUCAUUCGCAACCAUCAGAGGUAUAAUUAUUGGAAAUAAGAUUGCUGAAGGACAAACACAAGAGGGCGUCUCAGGGGAUAUUGAGAUGGCUCAUUGCGAAAUAUGCUUCCUGUUUAAAGGGAAACAUUGCUUUUGUUUUUUUAAAUUAUUUUUGUUAUAAAUCUACUGUAUCUUUAUUUGUUUGUUAAAUUAGGUUGGAAUUUCAAAAAUUUGUAUUGCUUUUGUGUUGUUCACAGCCACAUGAAAGAAUACUCUUAUGAUGGAAUGAUACAUUUCCUCAAAUGUAAUUAAUUAAAUAAUUAUUUAAUUAAUCACCAAAUUUAUUGUGUAUAAACGUAAUAGUUUUACCAGCAAAAAACUCAGUGUUCUUUCUGUAUUUGUACUUUAAUUAAAUUAUUGCCAAUUAAAUACAUUAAAAUUAUUAAAUAAAUAACAUUAUUUGAAAGUGCUUGCAUUUUUAUAUAGAAAAUUUCGAAUGUUAUGCAAUACCUUUUUUCUUGCAGGGUUUUAAGAUGAAAAGGGUAUCGAACGCCCAUAUCACACCCUAUAAAAACAUUUGACGUUUCUUUUUUCUCUAUGAAUGUGCUAUUUUUGCAGUUUGCUCUGCUUUUUGUCUCUUUUGUAAUUUGUCUGUUGUGAUGAGGACUCCCCUGAAAAUCAGCUUUGAUGAGUGGGACAUUUCCUCUUAAAAUAUUAAUAAAAGAAAGAAAGAAGAAGAACUGGAAAAGCAUGGACAAAUACUGAACUUUUUGUCUGGAGUAUUUGUAGGACCUACAUCAUAUGCAGAAAGCUGUGAAAAAUUGUUUUGAAUUCAAGAAGAAAUUCCCCCGAAUAAUGGCCUGAUAUCAUUUUAUGACGUUAUGUUAUGUUACGUUUGCUUAUUCCGAUGUCAAGUAUUUGAAUAGACCUCAUCUUUGAAUGGUAUAAAAAGACAAACCAUUCAGAGUUUGUACUAUUAUAUAAUGCAAUUCAUAUGUCAUAAGGAACUUUCCUCUUUUAAAAUUAUCUUAGAUGUAAUUAACAAAGGAGUCAUGAUUGAAUUAUGUAAAUAAUCCAUAUUUUUGAGGGAAUAAAAUUUGUGAUUAAAAAGCA
RNAcentral lists this long non-coding RNA (2224 nucleotides) under Anneissia japonica. Its description in RNAcentral is "uncharacterized LOC117104622, transcript variant X2". The record is from RNAcentral. Lineage: Eukaryota; Metazoa; Echinodermata; Crinoidea; Comatulida; Comatulidae.